AAUUGUUCUCCAUGAACGAGGAAUCCCCAGUAAGUGCAAGUCAUCAGCUUGCAUUGAUUACGUCCCUGCCCUUUGUACACACCGCCCGUCGCUACUAUCGAUUGGAUGAUUUGGUGAGACCUUCGGACCGGUCGGCGAAGCGGCCCUCGGGUCGCAUCGCUGUGCUGGGAAGAUGUUCAAACCUGACCAUCUAGAGAAAGUAAAAGUCGUAACAAGGUUUCCGUAGGUGAACCUGCGGAAGGAUCAUUAACGGAUCGUUUUGCUGCUUAGUUAUUAGUUUAACUUUGUAUUAGCAAAACAACUGUAUCCAAACCUUUGUUUGAACGACCAUUGCCCGUUAUCAUGUUUUGAAAAUGGGCUGAUCAGCAUUAAGUGUUGAGGUUAAUGUAGAGUGGCUCAGUACAAUUUGAACGCUUGCUCUGUUAAGCUAUCAGUUGCUUAAACCAGUCAACUCUGCAUUACACGAUAUAUUCAUGGGCAAUCACUGGAAUGUAUUGGCAGCUUUGACUAACCUAAGCCUCAGUUUAACUUCUCUUGAAGCUUGUACUGCCACUUACUUUAAGCUAUCACUUGAUAUGACAGCUCUCCUUGUUCCAUCUGAUUGGUGCCUAGUCUGCGUUUCCUACCAGUAGUGUUUAGCUGCUUGGUGUUGGAUGCAGGGUGUCAGUUUGCCAUAUGUGCAACUGCUGCUAGGCUUAAAUAUCUUAGCUGAAGCCUCAGAUGCAAGGUAACUUCUUGAUGAGAUCAGCGGUUGUUUUAAUAACACCGCUGUAUUUCAAUCUUUAAACCAAACUUUGAGCCAAAAUCAAAAUGAUUUACCUAAAUUAGAGCACUAAUUAAGCUUCUAAUUUAAAAAGACUACAGUUACAACUGUUGGUGGUGGAUCACUCGGCACGCUGAUCGAGGAAGAACGCAGCUAGCUGCGUUAAUCGGUAUAAAAUGCAGGACAUGCCGAAUACUCGACUUUCGAACGCAAAUUGCAGCCUCGGUCAUACCUUGGCUUCGUUUGUCUGAGCGUCGUUAAUAAGCCAAAAACUAUCAAAAGGUCCGAUAUCGUGUCAGUCCUCGGUUAUUGAUUCGUCGGGCCACUUUGAACACUCAAUAUUUCAUUAAAUGUCAAGCUUAUGGAAUGCCCAUGCGAGCGUAAAGUGGUAACACACUUGCGUGUAGUGAAUUAUACUUCACUAAUGUAGGGUACUUUGACAAUACAAGUCAGAGUUGCCUGAGCAAGUGUGGUUGUACCUCCUUUACACAGUCUCGAAUGGAUAUAUUUCAUCACAAGCGACAUAAUGUAAUGCAGUGUUUAAUAUUUUGAUAAUAACUUGCUAUAAACUACCAUAGCAACUUGUUAACCUUCGACCUCAGAUCAAGCGAGACUACCCGCUGAAUUUAAGCAUAUAAAUAAGCGGAGGAAAAGAAACCAAACGGGAUUCCCCUAGUAACGGCGAGCGAACAGGGAGCAGCCCAGCGCCAAGGCUCGACACUCGACGUGCUCAAGCGAUG
RNAcentral lists this ribosomal RNA (1503 nucleotides) under Aleuroglyphus ovatus (brown legged grain mite). RNAcentral describes it as "eukaryotic LSU rRNA". The stretch from base 1 to 249 matches the Rfam family "Eukaryotic small subunit ribosomal RNA", at positions 1588 to 1831 of the family's 1831-position model. Lineage: Eukaryota; Metazoa; Arthropoda; Arachnida; Sarcoptiformes; Acaridae. The record is from RNAcentral.